AACGCUGGCGGCAGGCCUAACACAUGCAAGUCGAGCGGAAACGAGUUAUCUGAACCUUCGGGGRACGAUAACGGCGUCGAGCGGCGGACGGGUGAGUAAUGCCUAGGAAAUUGCCCUGAUGUGGGGGAUAACCAUUGGAAACGAUGGCUAAUACCGCAUGAUGCCUACGGGCCAAAGAGGGGGACCUUCGGGCCUCUCGCGUCAGGAUAUGCCUAGGUGGGAUUAGCUAGUUGGUGAGGUAAGGGCUCACCAAGGCGACGAUCCCUAGCUGGUCUGAGAGGAUGAUCAGCCACACUGGAACUGAGACACGGUCCAGACUCCUACGGGAGGCAGCAGUGGGGAAUAUUGCACAAUGGGCGCAAGCCUGAUGCAGCCAUGCCGCGUGUGUGAAGAAGGCCUUCGGGUUGUAAAGCACUUUCAGUCGUGAGGAAGGUAGUGUAGUUAAUAGCUGCAUUAUUUGACGUUAGCGACAGAAGAAGCACCGGCUAACUCCGUGCCAGCAGCCGCGGUAAUACGGAGGGUGCGAGCGUUAAUCGGAAUUACUGGGCGUAAAGCGCAUGCAGGUGGUUUGUUAAGUCAGAUGUGAAAGCCCGGGGCUCAACCUCGGAAUAGCAUUUGAAACUGGCAGACUAGAGUACUGUAGAGGGGGGUAGAAUUUCAGGUGUAGCGGUGAAAUGCGUAGAGAUCUGAAGGAAUACCGGUGGCGAAGGCGGCCCCCUGGACAGAUACUGACACUCAGAUGCGAAAGCGUGGGGAGCAAACAGGAUUAGAUACCCUGGUAGUCCACGCCGUAAACGAUGUCUACUUGGAGGUUGUGGCCUUGAGCCGUGGCUUUCGGAGCUAACGCGUUAAGUAGACCGCCUGGGGAGUACGGUCGCAAGAUUAAAACUCAAAUGAAUUGACGGGGGCCCGCACAAGCGGUGGAGCAUGUGGUUUAAUUCGAUGCAACGCGAAGAACCUUACCUACUCUUGACAUCCAGAGAACUUUCCAGAGAUGGAUUGGUGCCUUCGGGAACUCUGAGACAG
Molecule: ribosomal RNA, 1026 nt
Filed under: Vibrio sp.
Lineage: Bacteria; Pseudomonadati; Pseudomonadota; Gammaproteobacteria; Vibrionales; Vibrionaceae
Description: bacterial SSU rRNA
Source: RNAcentral